UACGUAGGUGACCAGCGUUGUCCGGAUUUACUGGGCGUAAAGAGCGCGCAGGCGGUCGUUCAAGUCGAGUGUGAAAGCCCCCGGCUCAACUGGGGAGGGUCAUUCGAAACUGGUCGACUCGAAGGCAGGAGAGGGUAGUGGAAUUCCCGGUGUAGUGGUGAAAUGCGUAGAUAUCGGGAGGAACACCAGUGGCGAAGGCGACUACCUGGCCUGUUCUUGACGCUGAGGCGCGAAAGCUAGGGGAGCAAACGGG
This 253-nucleotide ribosomal RNA is filed under the name uncultured bacterium. RNAcentral describes it as "partial 16S ribosomal RNA". It matches the Rfam family "Bacterial small subunit ribosomal RNA", at positions 524 to 776 of the family's 1533-position model. The record is from RNAcentral.